Molecule: ribosomal RNA, 468 nt
Filed under: uncultured bacterium
Lineage: Bacteria
Description: partial 16S ribosomal RNA
Rfam family: Bacterial small subunit ribosomal RNA
Source: RNAcentral
GACGAACGCUGGCGGCGUGCUUAACACAUGCAAGUCGAACGGAAAGGCCCUGCUUUUGUGGGGUGCUCGAGUGGCGAACGGGUGAGUAACACGUGAGUAACCUGCCCUUGACUUUGGGAUAACUUCAGGAAACUUGGGCUAAUACCGGAUAGGAGCUCCUGCUGCAUGGUGGGGGUUGGAAAGUUUCGGCGGUUGGGGAUGGACUCGCGGCUUAUCAGCUUGUUGGUGGGGUAGUGGCUUACCAAGGCUUUGACGGGUAGCCGGCCUGAGAGGGUGACCGGCCACAUUGGGACUGAGAUACGGCACAGACUCCUACGGGAGGCAGCAGUGGGGAAUAUUGCAUAAUGGGAGGAAGCCUGAUGCAGCAAAGCCGCGUGCGGGAUGACGGCCUUCGGGUUGUAAACCGCUUUCGCCUGUGACGAAGCGUGAGUGACGGUAAUGGGUAAAGAAGCACCGGCUAACUACGUG